Molecule: non-coding RNA, 32 nt
Filed under: Homo sapiens (human)
Lineage: Eukaryota; Metazoa; Chordata; Mammalia; Primates; Hominidae
Source: RNAcentral
UAAUAGAUGUUGGUCCACCCUGUGGUCAGCCA